Protobothrops mucrosquamatus (brown spotted pit viper) is the source of this 212-nucleotide long non-coding RNA. RefSeq lists it as uncharacterized. NCBI's taxonomy places the organism in Eukaryota, Metazoa, Chordata, Lepidosauria, Squamata, Viperidae. The record is from RefSeq and is a predicted model, not a curated record. The transcript has 4 exons.
AGGAAAGACACCCAUCAAGAGUCACAAAGAAACCAGAAACAGAACAUCAUGGUGUCAGAAGACGUGUUGAGAGGUCAGCAAGUGGAUCCAGUGAAAUGCGCAUGACUCGCUUCAUAAUCCCUCGACAACAGCAAGCAGAUAUACCUCCAGUACCAAACAUACCUCCUAUACCAAUACCGAUUCCUGUACCAAUACCACUUGACCCAACUGCG